Bos indicus x Bos taurus (hybrid cattle) is the source of this 367-nucleotide long non-coding RNA. The record is from Ensembl. Lineage: Eukaryota; Metazoa; Chordata; Mammalia; Artiodactyla; Bovidae.
CAGAAGGAGGAGAAGCGAGGGGAAAAGUUGCCACACACACACCCCCGGGGAGGGCGAGGGAGGGAGAAAAGGGGGGAGGGAGAAGGAGCUAGGGGGCCACAACCACCACAACUCUGGGAGAGAAGAGAAGAGAAAGGGACAGAAGGGGGGAAAGGAGGUGAGGGUGAGAGAGCGAGCGAGCGCAAAAGGGGCGAGCGAGAGAGGCGCUCUGGAGAGAAACGCACAAAAGUGUCCCGCAAGUCGAAAUAUUCUGGAAAGAAAGAAAUGCUUGCUACAGAAAUGUGGAUGGUUCAGGAUAACUUCACUUUCGCCCCAAAGGAUAUCGUUUGAAGCCGAGCUUGUACCAGUUCAGGGAAGGGAAACAUAA